RNAcentral lists this transfer RNA (71 nucleotides) under Loxodonta africana (African savanna elephant). It matches the Rfam family "tRNA". From Rfam's summary of the family: Transfer RNA (tRNA) molecules are approximately 80 nucleotides in length. Their secondary structure includes four short double-helical elements and three loops (D, anti-codon, and T loops). Lineage: Eukaryota; Metazoa; Chordata; Mammalia; Proboscidea; Elephantidae. The record is from Rfam by way of RNAcentral.
ACAUUGGUGGUUCAGUGGUAGAAUUCUCGCCUUCCAUCUGGGAGACCCGGGAUAGAUUCCCAGCCAGUGCA